Molecule: non-coding RNA, 31 nt
Filed under: Rattus norvegicus (Norway rat)
Lineage: Eukaryota; Metazoa; Chordata; Mammalia; Rodentia; Muridae
Source: RNAcentral
UUUCACAGCAAUAGUGACCAAGACAUGUCGC